This 246-nucleotide ribosomal RNA is filed under the name uncultured bacterium. RNAcentral describes it as "partial 16S ribosomal RNA". It matches the Rfam family "Bacterial small subunit ribosomal RNA", at positions 109 to 353 of the family's 1533-position model. The record is from RNAcentral.
AGUAACGCGUGGGUAACCUGCCUUAUACAGGGGGAUAACAGUCAGAAAUGGCUGCUAAUACCGCAUAAGCGCACAGAGCUGCAUGGCUCAGUGUGAAAAACUCCGGUGGUAUAAGAUGGACCCGCGUUGGAUUAGCUUGUUGGCAGGGUAGCGGCCUACCAAGGCGACGAUCCAUAGCCGGCCUGAGAGGGUGAACGGCCACAUUGGGACUGAGACACGGCCCAGACUCCUACGGGAGGCAGCAUG